GGAAGGAUCAUUACCGAGUCGGACAAGACCGACCGAGGAGGGGCGACUCUCUUCGGUGGUCUUUGUACGGUCUUCCCUGUGCACUUCGGUAGUCGGGCCCGAUCCCUUCGGGUCGGUUGCUCGGUCUACGUUUUUAUUAAACCUUCGAAUGUUGGAAUGUGUGUGUGGGAGAAUUGGGCAAAAAAUGACAACUUUCAGCAACGGAUCUCUUGGCUCUCGCAUCGAUGAAGGACGCAGCGAAUCGCGAUAUGUAAUGUGAAUUGCAGAUCUUCCGUGAAUCAUCGAAUCUUUGAACGCACCUUGCGCUCCUCGGUAUUCCGAGGAGCAUGCCUGUCUGAGUGUCACGAAUACUCUCGGAUGCUCGGUCCUCUCGGGGAUUGAGAUUCGGAACUUGGGAGUUGCGGGCGGUCUCCCUCGCGGGGGGGGGACUGUCGGCUCUUCUGAAAUGCAUUAGCGAAGGAGGGAAAAGGCUUUCGGCCUCCCUUUCUCCUCGGCGUCGUAAGGAUCGUCGUGGGGGAAAAAAAGGGCUGGUGUGAUAUUCGCUUCCAACACUAGUCGGUGACCGAGUGAUCGGUCGGCGAUCGAUAGUAUGGCCUCAGAUCAGGCAGGGCUACCCGCUGAACUUAAGCAUAUCAAUAAGCGGAGGAAAAGAAACUAACGAGGAUUCCCCUAGUAACUGCGAGUGAAGCGGGAUGAGCUCAAAUUUUGAAUCUGGCGGUCUUCGGGGCCGUCCGAGUUGUAAUCUAGAGAAGCGUCUUCCGCGCUGGACCCGUGUACAAGUCUCCUGGAAGGGAGCAUCGUAGAGGGUGAGAGUCCCGUCUCCGACACGGAUGGAACCCCGGUGCUAUGUGAUGCGCUCUCGACGAGUCGAGUUGUUUGGGAAUGCAGCUCCAAAUGGGUGGUAAACUCCAUCUAAAGCUAAAUAUUGGCGAGAGACCGAUAGCGAACAAGUACCGUGAGGGAAAGAUGAAAAGGACUUUGGAAAGAGAGUCAAACAGUACGUGAAAUUGCUGGAAGGGAAACGCUCCUAGUCAGUCGCGUCUCCUCGGGGAUCAACUCGGCGAUCUCGGUCGCAGGGCGUACUUCCCGGUCGGAGAUGGGUCAGCAUCGAUCUCGGUCGUCGUAGAAGGACGAGAGUGAAUGUGCCACUCCUCGGAGUGUGUUAUAGCCUCUCGUAUGGGAUGCGACGACGUCGGGAUCGAGGAACUCGGCACGACCCCCCCCCUCUCACGGGGGGCGGGGUUCGGGGCUCUCGCUCACGUUGGCGUGCCCAGGAUGUUGGCAAAAUGGCUCGGAUCGACCCGUCUUGAAACACGGACCAAGGAGUCUAACGUGCGUGCGAGUGUUCGGGUGGAAAACCCGUGUGCGAAAUGAAGGUGAAAGUCGAGACCUUCGGUCGGUCGGUCGGAGGGCAUCGACGCCCGGACCCGAGCCUUCGGCGAAGGAUCCGCGGUGGAGCACGUAUGUUGGGACCCGAAAGAUGGUGAACUAUGCCUGAAUAGGGUGAAGCCAGAGGAAACUCUGGUGGAGGCUCGUAGCGAUUCUGACGUGCAAAUCGAUCGUCGAAUUCGGGUAUAGGGGCGAAAGACUAAUCGAACCAUCUAGUAGCUGGUUCCUGC
This 1619-nucleotide unclassified non-coding RNA is filed under the name uncultured fungus. RNAcentral's name for it is "sequence contains 18S rRNA gene, ITS1, 5.8S rRNA gene, ITS2, 28S rRNA gene". The stretch from base 591 to 1619 matches the Rfam family "Eukaryotic large subunit ribosomal RNA", at positions 1 to 961 of the family's 3401-position model. The record is from RNAcentral. Lineage: Eukaryota; Fungi.